GGGUUGUGAGGUUAAGCGACUAAGCGUACACGGUGGAUGCCCUGGCAGUCAGAGGCGAUGAAGGACGUGCUAAUCUGCGAUAAGCGCCGGUAAGGUGAUAUGAACCGUUAUAACCGGCGAUUUCCGAAUGGGGAAACCCAGUGUGACUCGUCACACUAUCAUUAACUGAAUCCAUAGGUUAAUGAGGCGAACCGGGGGAACUGAAACAUCUAAGUACCCCGAGGAAAAGAAAUCAACCGAGAUUCCCCCAGUAGCGGCGAGCGAACGGGGAGGAGCCCAGAGCCUGAAUCAGCAUGUGUGUUAGUGGAAGCGUCUGGAAAGGCGCGCGAUACAGGGUGACAGCCCCGUACACAAAAGCGCAUGUGCUGUGAGCUCGAUGAGUAGGGCGGGACACGUGGUAUCCUGUCUGAAUAUGGGGGGACCAUCCUCCAAGGCUAAAUACUCCUGACUGACCGAUAGUGAACCAGUACCGUGAGGGAAAGGCGAAAAGAACCCCGGCGAGGGGAGUGAAAAAGAACCUGAAACCGUGUACGUACAAGCAGUGGGAGCACAGGUUUACCUGUGUGACUGCGUACCUUUUGUAUAAUGGGUCAGCGACUUAUAUUCUGUAGCAAGGUUAACCGUAUAGGGGAGCCGUAGGGAAACCGAGUCUUAAUUGGGCGUUAAGUUGCAGGGUAUAGACCCGAAACCCGGUGAUCUAGCCAUGGGCAGGUUGAAGGUUGGGUAACACUAACUGGAGGACCGAACCGACUAAUGUUGAAAAAUUAGCGGAUGACCUGUGGCUGGGGGUGAAAGGCCAAUCAAACCGGGAGAUAGCUGGUUCUCCCCGAAAGCUAUUUAGGUAGCGCCUCGUGAAUUCAUCUCCGGGGGUAGAGCACUGUUUCGGCUAGGGGGCCAUCCCGGCUUACCAACCCGAUGCAAACUGCGAAUACCGGAGAAUGUUAUCACGGGAGACACACGGCGGGUGCUAACGUCCGUCGUGAAGAGGGAAACAACCCAGACCGCCAGCUAAGGUCCCAAAGUCAUGGUUAAGUGGGAAACGAUGUGGGAAGGCCCAGACAGCCAGGAUGUUGGCUUAGAAGCAGCCAUCAUUUAAAGAAAGCGUAAUAGCUCACUGGUCGAGUCGGCCUGCGCGGAAGAUGUAACGGGGCUAAACCAUGCACCGAAGCUGCGGCAGCGAACGUAUCACCCAAGACAACUUUACGGAGUUGACGAUUGACGGAGCGAAGCGACGUCAAAGCGUUCAUUAAAGUCGAGUUGGCUUAGGGAUACGUUCGUUGGGUAGGGGAGCGUUCUGUAAGCCUGUGAAGGUGUGUCGUGAGGCAUGCUGGAGGUAUCAGAAGUGCGAAUGCUGACAUAAGUAACGAUAAAGCGGGUGAAAAGCCCGCUCGCCGGAAGACCAAGGGUUCCUGUCCAACGUUAAUCGGGGCAGGGUGAGUCGACCCCUAAGGCGAGGCCGAAAGGCGUAGUCGAUGGGAAACGGGUUAAUAUUCCCGUACUUGGUGUUACUGCGAAGGGGGGACGGAGAAGGCUAUGUUGGCCGGGCGACGGUUGUCCCGGUUUAAGCGUGUAGGCUGGUUUUCCAGGCAAAUCCGGAAAAUCAAGGCUGAGGCGUGACGACGAGGCACUACGGUGCUGAAGCAACAAAUGCCCUGCUUCCAGGAAAAGCCUCUAAGCAUCAGGUAACAUCAAAUCGUACCCCAAACCGACACAGGUGGUCAGGUAGAGAAUACCAAGGCGCUUGAGAGAACUCGGGUGAAGGAACUAGGCAAAAUGGUGCCGUAACUUCGGGAGAAGGCACGCUGACAUGUAGGUGAAGUGAUUUACUCAUGGAGCUGAAGUCAGUCGAAGAUACCAGCUGGCUGCAACUGUUUAUUAAAAACACAGCACUGUGCAAACACGAAAGUGGACGUAUACGGUGUGACGCCUGCCCGGUGCCGGAAGGUUAAUUGAUGGGGUCAGCGCAAGCGAAGCUCCUGAUCGAAGCCCCGGUAAACGGCGGCCGUAACUAUAACGGUCCUAAGGUAGCGAAAUUCCUUGUCGGGUAAGUUCCGACCUGCACGAAUGGCGUAAUGAUGGCCAGGCUGUCUCCACCCGAGACUCAGUGAAAUUGAACUCGCUGUGAAGAUGCAGUGUACCCGCGGCAAGACGGAAAGACCCCGUGAACCUUUACUAUAGCUUGACACUGAACAUUGAGCCUUGAUGUGUAGGAUAGGUGGGAGGCUUUGAAGCGUGGACGCCAGUCUGCGUGGAGCCGACCUUGAAAUACCACCCUUUAAUGUUUGAUGUUCUAACGUGGACCCGUAAUCCGGGUUGCGGACAGUGUCUGGUGGGUAGUUUGACUGGGGCGGUCUCCUCCUAAAGAGUAACGGAGGAGCACGAAGGUUGGCUAAUCCUGGUCGGACAUCAGGAGGUUAGUGCAAUGGCAUAAGCCAGCUUGACUGCGAGCGUGACGGCGCGAGCAGGUGCGAAAGCAGGUCAUAGUGAUCCGGUGGUUCUGAAUGGAAGGGCCAUCGCUCAACGGAUAAAAGGUACUCCGGGGAUAACAGGCUGAUACCGCCCAAGAGUUCAUAUCGACGGCGGUGUUUGGCACCUCGAUGUCGGCUCAUCACAUCCUGGGGCUGAAGUAGGUCCCAAGGGUAUGGCUGUUCGCCAUUUAAAGUGGUACGCGAGCUGGGUUUAGAACGUCGUGAGACAGUUCGGUCCCUAUCUGCCGUGGGCGCUGGAGAACUGAGGGGGGCUGCUCCUAGUACGAGAGGACCGGAGUGGACGCAUCACUGGUGUUCGGGUUGUCAUGCCAAUGGCACUGCCCGGUAGCUAAAUGCGGAAGAGAUAAGUGCUGAAAGCAUCUAAGCACGAAACUUGCCCCGAGAUGAGUUCUCCCUGAGACUUUAGGUCUCCUGAAGGAACGUUGAAGACGACGACGUUGAUAGGCCGGGUGUGUAAGCGCAGCGAUGCGUUGAGCUAACCGGUACUAAUGAACCGUGAGGCUUAACCUUACAACGCCGAAG
This 3011-nucleotide ribosomal RNA is filed under the name Salmonella enterica subsp. enterica serovar Saintpaul. RNAcentral describes it as "23S ribosomal RNA". It matches the Rfam family "Bacterial large subunit ribosomal RNA". The record is from RNAcentral. Lineage: Bacteria; Pseudomonadati; Pseudomonadota; Gammaproteobacteria; Enterobacterales; Enterobacteriaceae.